Molecule: ribosomal RNA, 497 nt
Filed under: uncultured bacterium
Lineage: Bacteria
Description: partial 16S ribosomal RNA
Rfam family: Bacterial small subunit ribosomal RNA
Source: RNAcentral
GACGAACGCUGGCGGCGUGCCUAAUACAUGCAAGUAGAACGCUGAAGAGAGGAGCUUGCUCUUCUUGGAUGAGUUGCGAACGGGUGAGUAACGCGUAGGUAACCUGCCUUGUAGCGGGGGAUAACUAUUGGAAACGAUAGCUAAUACCGCAUAACAAUGGAUGACACAUGUCAUUUAUUUGAAAGGGGCAAUUGCUCCACUACAAGAUGGACCUGCGUUGUAUUAGCUAGUAGGUGAGGUAAUGGCUCACCUGGGCGACGAUACAUAGCCGACCUGAGAGGGUGAUCGGCCACACUGGGACUGAGACACGGCCCAGACUCCUACGGGAGGCAGCAGUAGGGAAUCCUCGGCAAUGGGGGCAACCCUGACCGAGCAACGCCGCGUGAGUGAAGAAGGUUUUCGGAUCGUAAAGCUCUGUUGUAAGUCAAGAACGGGUGUGAGAGUGGAAAGUUCACACUGUGACGGUAGCUUACCAGAAAGGGACGGCUAACUACGUG